RNAcentral lists this ribosomal RNA (460 nucleotides) under uncultured bacterium. RNAcentral's name for it is "partial 16S ribosomal RNA". It matches the Rfam family "Bacterial small subunit ribosomal RNA", at positions 338 to 795 of the family's 1533-position model. The record is from RNAcentral.
CCUACGGGGGGCAGCAGUGAGGAAUAUUGGUCAAUGGACGAGAGUCUGAACCAGCCAAGUAGCGUGAAGGAUGACUGCCCUAUGGGUUGUAAACUUCUUUUAUAAAGGAAUAAAACGAGGCACGUGUGCCUUUUUGCAUGUACUUUAUGAAUAAGGAUCGGCUAACUCCGUGCCAGCAGCCGCGGUAAUACGGAGGAUCCGAGCGUUAUCCGGAUUUAUUGGGUUUAAAGGGAGCGUAGAUGGGUUGUUAAGUCAGUUGUGAAAUUUUGCGGCUCAACCGUAAAAUUGCAAUUGAUACUGGCAGUCUUGAGUAUAGUUGAGGUAGGCGGAAUGCGUGGUGUAGCGGUGAAAUGCUUAGAUAUCACGCAGAACCCCGAUUGCGAAGGCAGCUUACUAAACUGUGACUGACAUUGAUGCUCGAAAGUGUGGGUAUCAAACAGGAUUAGAUACCCGAGUAGUC